AUGGCGCCCGCCUGCCUCCUAUUGCCACUCCUCCUGCUCCCCUUCGCCCCAGGUCCAGCACAGGCCGCGACGCCGGCAAGGUCUCCGUCGGCGUCAGCAUCAUCCUCCUCCACGUCCGUCGUGUUCCAGCUCCAGGGCGACGUAUAUCCCACCGGGCAUUACUAUGCCACCAUGAACAUUGGGGAUCCGGCGAGGCCCUACUUCUUGGACAUUGACACCGGCAGUGACCUCACUUGGCUGCAGUGCGACGCUCCCUGCCAAAGCUGCAACAAGGUGCCGCACCCAUUGUACAAGCCAACAAAGAGCAAGAUUGUGCCCUGUGCAGACUCACUCUGUACUACACUGCUCAGCUCACAGAUUCCUAACAACAAGCAGUGCCCCUCACCACACCAAUGCGACUACAAAAUCAAGUACACGGACAGCUCGUCUUCUCGCGGUGUGCUCGUUACCGACAGCUUCGGCCUAACCCUACGGAAUUCAUCCCGUGUUAGUCGCAGCCUCACCUUUGGCUGUGGCUAUGACCAGCAGGUGGGAAAGAAUGGGGCAGUGCAGGCAGCGACAGAUGGCUUGCUUGGGCUUGGGAGGGGAUCAGUUAGCUUGGUCUCGCAGCUCAAGCAGCAAGGCAUCACCAAGAAUGUACUUGCCCAUUGCCUCAGUACGAACGGAGGAGGGUUCCUCUACUUUGGGGAUGAUAUCGUGUCUACCUCACGCGCAAUGUGGGUGCCGAUGGCUCGUAGCACAUCUGGGAAUUACUACUCACCUGGCUCAGGAACACUUUACUUCGAUAAACACCCACUAGGAGUGAAGCCAACGGAGGUGGUAUUUGAUAGCGGUAGCACCUAUACGUACUUUGCUGCCCAGCCAUACCAAGCGACUGUUUCUGCGAUCCAAGCUGGUCUCAGCAAGUCACUUACGAAGGUGUCUGACCCCAGUCUACCUCUUUGCUGGAAAGGGCAGAAAGUGUUUAAAUCUGUGUCUGACAUCAAGAAGGAGUUCAAAUCACUCUUCCUGAUGUUUUCGAAGAAUACAGCCAUGGAGAUCGCUCCCGAAAACUACCUCAUUGUUACCAAAAAUGGAAAUGUGUGCUUGGGCAUUCUUGACGGGUCGGUGGCCAAACUUAAUUUCAACAUAAUUGGAGGUACAAAGUCUAGACUCACACAACCCGGUCUAUGA
RNAcentral lists this ribosomal RNA (1173 nucleotides) under Triticum aestivum (bread wheat). RNAcentral describes it as "partial small subunit ribosomal RNA". Lineage: Eukaryota; Viridiplantae; Streptophyta; Magnoliopsida; Poales; Poaceae. The record is from RNAcentral.